CCCAGCGGUGGCCGCGCCGUUGCUGCUCUCGGUGGCUCCAGUUCCGUUUCCAGCGGCUGCUGGGACAGGAGGGGACAGAGCGGCUCUGGGAGGUACCGGGGACAGCGGGGACAGCGGGGACAUUGGUGGGGACAUCAAUGGGGACACUGGGGACAGCGGGGACAUUGGGGACAUUGGGGACAUCAAUGGGGACAUUGGGGACAUUAAUGGGGACAUGGGGACACUGGGGAGAUUGGGGACAUUGGGGACAUCGGGGACAUCGGGGGGAUUUGGGGACAUUGGAGACAUUGGGGGACAUUGGGGACAUUGGGGAUAUUGGGGACAUUUGGGAACAUUUUGGGGACAUUUUGGGAGGUUUUUGGGACAUUGGGGACAUUUGGGACAUUACGGGGACAUUGGGGAUAUUGGGGACAUUGGGGGCAUUGGGGACAUUUGGGACACUUUGGGGACAUUUUGGGACAUUUUGGGAGAUUUGGGGACAUUUUGGGGCAUUGGGGACAUUGGGGACAUUUUGGGGAAUUUGGGACAUUGGGACAUCAAUGGGGACAUUUUGGGGUGUCUUUGGGGUGGUUUUGAGGGGAUUUGGGGACAUUUGGGGACAAUUUGGGGACAAUUUGGGGGGAUUGGGGACAUUGGGGACAUUGGAGACAUUUGGGGACAUUUUGGGUGGGUUUGGGGACCUUUUGGGGACAUUUUGGGGACAAUUUUGGGACAUUUGGGGACAUUUGGGACAUUCAGGGCAGCUUUGAGGUGGUUUUGUGGGUAUUUGGGGACUUUUGGGGACAAUUUGGGGACAUUAGGGGUGGCUUUGGGGUGGCUUUAAGGGGAUUUGGGGACAUUUGGGGACAUUUGGGACAUUCGGGGCGGCUUUGAGGUGGUUUUGAGGGGAUUUGGGGACAUUUUUGGGGCCCUUUGGGCGUGUUUGCCCCCAGAGGUGUCCCCAAAAUGUCCCCAACUGUCCCCAAAAUGUCCCCAAAAUGUCCCCAACUGUCCCCAAGUGUCCCCAGAGGUGUCCCCAAAUGUCCCCAAAAUGUCCCCAAAAUGUCCCCAGAAGUGUCCCCAAGUGUCCCCAAUGUCCCCACUGUCCCCAGGUGCUGUGGACGGGGCGACCGUGCCCCAAUUUCCAUCUCCUGGUCACCUGCGCCGCGCUGGAGCUGCUCAGGGACACCUUUGGGGACACCUUUGGGGACACCUUUGGGGACACCUUUGGGGACACUUUUGGGGACAGUGACAGCGACGAGGACACGGACAGCGAGGACAGCGACGGGGACCAGCUGUCCCCGGUGGUGGCAGUUCCGGAGCUGCUGCGUCGCGCUGAGGGACUCCUGCGGGUGGCGGCCACUCGGGUCAGUGACACACAACAAUGUCACCAAAUGUCACCAAUGUCACCAAUGUCACCAAAUGUCCCAAAAUGUCACCAAAUGGCCCCAGAAUGGCCCAAAAUGUCACCAAAAUGGCCCCAAAAUGUCACCAGAAUGUCCCCAGAAUGUCCCCAAAUGGCCCCAAAAUGGCCCAAAUGGCCCCAGAUGUCCCCAAAUGUCCCCAAUGUCACCGAUGUCACCAGAAUGGCCCCAAAUGUCUCCAGGUGUCCCCAAGUGUCAACAAGUGUCACCUGAGUGUCCCCAAUGUCCCCAAUGUCCCCAAUGUCCCCAAAUGUCCCCAAUGCCCCAAUGACCCCAAAUGUCACUGGGUGUCCCCAGAUGUCACCAAUGUCCCCAAAAUGUCCCCAAAUGUCCCCAAAAUGUCCCCUGAGUGUCCCCAGUGUCCCAGACUGGCACCAAAUGACCCCUGGGUGACCCCAAAUGACCCCUGGGUGACCCCAGGCUGACCCCAAAGUGACCCAAGUGACCCCAAAGUGACCCAAGGUGACCCCAAAGUGACCCCUGGAUGACCCCAGUGACCCCUGGGUGACCCAAAUGCCCCAAAAGUGACCUCAAAUGACCCCAAAGUGACCCCUGGGUGACCCUGAUGUGACCCCUGGAUGACCUCAAAGGACCCUGAGUGGCCCCUGGGUGACCUCAGGUGACCCCAGUGACCCCCGAGUGACCCAAAUGCCCCAAAAGUGACCUCAAAUGACCCCGCCCCUCCCCCAGGCGCUGCCCCCGGACCUGCGGGAGCUGCUGGGACUGGGACAGACUGGGACGGACUGGGAGCAACUGGGACAAACUGGGACGGACCAGGAGCAACUGGGACAGACCGGGAGCCAAACUGGGACGGACUGGGAGCAACUGGGAGGGCCCCAACCCCCCCCAGAGCCGCCCCCGGGCACCGCCUGAGCCAAACUGGGACGGACUGGGAUGAACUGGGAGGGACUGGGAGGGACUGGGAGGGAACUGGGUCACACUGAGAGCCAAACUGGGAGCACUGGGACAGACUGGGAGGGACUGGGAGGGACUGGGGCAAACUGGGAACCUGAACUGGGGCGCACUGGGAGCACUGGGAGCCCAAACUGGGAGCACUGGGAGCCCAAACUGGGAGCACUGGGAGCACAAACUGGGAGGGACUGGGAGCCCAAACUGGGAUGAACUGGGAGCCCAAACUGGUUUUUCCUUUCUUUGUUCAUUAAAAGCUUUUGGGAACCGCCGGAUUUGGAAUUUUGGGUUUUUUUGGGGAUAUUUUGGGGUUUUUUGGGGUUUUUUUGGGAAUUUGGGGAUUUUUUUGGGGAAUUUUGAGGGGAAUUUGGGGGAUUUGGGGAAUUUUUGGGUUUUUUGGUUUUUUUGGGAAUUUGGGGGAUUUUUGGGGAAUUUUUGGGGGGAAUUUGGGGGAUUUUUGGGGGAAUUUGGGGGAUUUUGGGAAUUUUUGGGGUUUUUAUGGAUUUUUGGGGUUUCUUAGGGUUUUCUUUGGGAUAUUUUGGAGUUUUUUGGGGGGUUUUGGGAAUUUGGGGAAUUUUUGGGGUUUUUUUGGGAAUUUUGGGGGGGGAUUUUGGGGUUUUGGGGGAUUUUGGGGUUUUUUUUUGAUUUUUGAGGGGGUUGGGGUUUUUGGGGGAGUUUUGGAGGCUUUUGGGGAGUUUUUGGGAAUUUUGGGGGGGUUUUGGAAUUUUGGGGGUUUAUUUGAGUUUUUUUGGGAAUUUUGGGGGGAUUUGGGGUUUUUUGGGAAUUUUGGGCAGUUGGGGUUUUUUGGGUUUUUUUGGGGUUGGUUUUUUGGGUCUUUUUGAAGGUUUCUUUUUGGGGUUUUCUUUUUUGGGGGUUGGGGAUUUUUAGGGAUUUUUUUGGGGGUUCUUUGUGUUUUGGGGAUUUUUUUUGAGUUUUUUUGAUGAUUUGGGAUUUUUAGGGAUUUUUGGGCGGUUUUUUGGUGCUUUUUGGCUGGUUUUGUUUGGGUUUUUUGGAGCUUUCUGGAUUUUUCGGGAUUUUUAGUGUUUGUUUCAACACAUUUGGGAUUUUUUGAGUAUUUCGGGAUUUUUUGGGGGGUUUUGGCUGGUUUUGUUCGGGUUUUUGGGGUUUUUUGGGGAUUUCUGGAUUUUUAGGAUUUUUUUGGGGUUUGCUUCAAGUUUUUGGGGGUUUUUGGAGAUUUUUGGGGAUUUUUUGGGGUUUUGGCUGUUUUUUGGGGGGUUUUUUGGGGUUUUUUUGGGAUUUUUUUUUUUGAUUUCUGGAUUUUUAGGGAUUUUUUCGGGUUUUAACGUUUUUUGGGGUUUUUUUGGAAUUUUUUUGGGAUUUUUCGGUGUUUUGAGGAUUUUUUGGGGGCGCUCCCCUCCCGUAAUUACGGCGGUGCCGCUCCCGUAAUUACCGCAGUAGAGGCGCACAAAUCCCGUAAUGCUCCGAAAAGCGGCACCGCCCGCAAUUAAUCCGCUAAUUAAUCAAUAAUUAAUCCGUUCAUUCAUUAAUGAGCGCGUUAAUUGGCGAUGGGCCCGGGGAUGGACACGCGGACAGCAGUGGAAGUAAUGCGUGAUAAUUAAUUAAUUAAUUGAUUAAUUAAUUAAUAUUGGAAUAUUAGCCCUGUAUGAGCUGCACGUUGUACUCUGUAAUUAAUUAAAUGUAUGGUAAUUAUAUGUAAAUUAUGCGCUGGGUAAGUUUAUUUUAAAUGAAUUUGUUCUGGAAAAAUGUAUUUUAUAUUUCUAUUUUUAAGCCAUAUAUUUUAAUAUUAAUAUAUUUUAAUAGGAGCAUUUUAAUAUUAAUAUAUUUUAUUAGUGAAUUUUAAUAUUAAUGUAUUUAAUAUUCACCUAUUUUAAUAUUCAUAUCUAUUACUAUUAAUAUAUUUUAAUAUUUCUGUGUCUCAGUAUUAAUAUACUUUAUACUAAUCUAUUGC
This 4242-nucleotide long non-coding RNA is filed under the name Taeniopygia guttata (zebra finch). Its description in RNAcentral is "lncRNA (ENSTGUG00000022857.1)". The record is from RNAcentral. Lineage: Eukaryota; Metazoa; Chordata; Aves; Passeriformes; Estrildidae.